Lycium ferocissimum is the source of this 268-nucleotide long non-coding RNA. RefSeq lists it as uncharacterized. Lineage: Eukaryota; Viridiplantae; Streptophyta; Magnoliopsida; Solanales; Solanaceae. The record is from RefSeq and is a predicted model, not a curated record. The transcript is spliced from 3 exons.
GAGAGAAAGGAUAGUUAGAGAGAGAAAGGAGAGGAUCCAUCAAGUUGAAGGUCUCAAAUCCCAAGGCUCGUGAAGGAUAAAGUGUAGUACAAGUUCUUGCCGUCGUUCUAAGCUACAAAUCAAACUUGGGGUGUUGAUUUCGUGGUGGAUGCUCAUAAAAGAUCAAAGUUGAAAAGGUUGACGAACAUUGUAUUACGCUCAAAGGCUGGAAUUAAGGUAACGAUACACAGGUUGACGACUCAGCUAAUUAGGAGUGCACGUGUCAGCU